This 1094-nucleotide long non-coding RNA is filed under the name Ovis aries (sheep). RNAcentral's name for it is "lncRNA (ENSOARG00000026425.1)". Lineage: Eukaryota; Metazoa; Chordata; Mammalia; Artiodactyla; Bovidae. The record is from RNAcentral.
GUAGUUCCUGAUUGUUCUAAGACUUUGUAUGUGUUUUCUAAAUUUUCCCCAUAAUUACCCCAUUGCUUGUAUUUUAAAAUAAAAUCUGUAGAAAGAGAAUUUCGAUUGCUUUUCUUCAUAAGAAACUGCUGAGUUUUCAAAGGUGGGAUGACAUUCGGAUGCCUGGGGACGCAGUGAGUCACAGGACGGACAGUGCUGGGCGGUCAUCCUUAGAUCCCUGUGACAACAUCAGCCUUUUCCGUGAUGUUUUCUCGCUGGCCCUUCAUCAGCAUAUUGAUUCUAAAGUUUUAUCGACUCUUCCGAGACACUGCUAGGCAAGCUGUAAGCUCUUUUUGUAAGCCACUGGUCCUUCUUCUCUUUACUCCUUGGCUUUGAUCGAGCUGUUGCAAAUUUCUUAUGUGAAGCCUGGUCCUGUCGAUGAGAUUUCUAGCCUCUGAAGAAUUUGAAUGCCCAGCACUGUGCAGCUUCUUAAACCUCUGCAAAAUCUACAGGCGUUAACUUUGCUGACAUUGUGUCUUCCUCCUCACCCCAUACCUUGGCUCAUGCCCUUCCUGUCUGCAAAGACUUCACCCUCUAUCCAUAAACCAGAUGUUUCCUGGUGUCCAAACACGCGUCAGGCCCCAGGCUCAGUGCUGAAGUUGCAAAGAUGAUGAAGUCAGUCUUCAAAGAGCUCACAGUCUCAAGAGGAAAAGGACUCAACCCUGGUAUCAGUAGAAUCGAAUAAAUGCUCUGGGAAUAGAAGUGAGACUGAACCAGCACAGGAGUGGGGAGGAGAUAUCACCAGCACUGAAGCUAGAGCAAGACACAGGCAAGUGGAAAAGAAGGAGCAAGGCAUUCAAGUCAGAGAAAACUAUGUGCAAAAUUCAGGAGGUGAGGGGCUUAGGGCAUGCAGAAAGGAAACGACCCUAUCUGAUGGCUCCAGAGAAUAUGGUCCCGGUGAGGGAGCAGACCGCAACAAAGGUAUACAGGUUGAAAAAAUUAAAGUGUGUGCAAAUUCUCAAAGUUAAAAAAGAGUUUCUGUCUUUGAAGUGGAAGGAAACAAUAAGAUAUCCCACAAGAAAAGAAUGCUCACCUUGAAUACAAGGAAACUGAAC